AUGGCGCCGGUUGACAAUUCUCCGGCUGGAAAUAUGAGCGGUUUUGAGUUAAUUUGCUCGUAUAAAUCCAACGAUUCGAUUUUUGUGCAUAAAUAUAAGUCAAUUAACACUGGAAUUACAGUGCUUAUUGCUGAUGUGGAUGGUCCACUUGUGUGUGGUUAUUUUUGCCUCGCAACGGAAGCUUUUGAUGACGAUGGAUUGCCGCAUACUCUGGAGCAUCUCAUCUUCAUAGGGAGUGAAAAAUACCCAUACAAAGGUGUUUUAGAUUUAUUGGCAAACCGAUGUCUUGCAUCUGGUACCAAUGCAUGGACAGAAGUCGACCACACUGCUUACACUAUGAAAACAGCUGGUUCUGAAGGUUUUCUCAGUUUGAUGCCUAUAUAUCUUGAACACAUUCUCUAUCCUACCCUAAAGGACUCUGCAUACAUUACGGAAGUCCAUCAUAUCACAGGUGAAGGUGAAGAUGCAGGUAUAGUUUAUUCGGAAAUGCAAGGUUGUAUCAAUACUGGGGAAACGUUGACACACACGGAACUUUUAAGGGCUGCUUAUCCAGGAAAAUGUGGCUAUAAAUCUCAAACCGGAGGUGAUUUGCUAAAUUUGCGAGACAGCACUUCCAACGAGAAAGUUCGAGAUUACCAUAAAGAGUGUUACAGGCCUGAAAAUCUGACUGUUUUAAUCACGGGUCAGGUGAAACACGCGGAUGUUUUUAAAGCGCUUCAUACGAUUGAAGAAAAAAUCUUGUCUAAGGGUCCUAGAGGUGCAUUUAAAAGACCUUGGCAGGAAACAGUGCCUCCAUUGACUGAUGAUGCCGAUUUGAACGUUUAUUAUCCAUGCGAUGACGAAGAUAACGGCCUCGUAUUUGUUGGUUGGCGAGGACCUUCUACUGUUUACGAAUUUUACGAUCUCACGGGUUGCACAUUAUUAUUGAAGUACCUAACUGAUACUUCAGUUAGUCCUCUGCAACAGGAAUUUGUCGAGAUUGAUGAUCCUCUUGCAAAUAACGUCGGAUAUGGUGUUUGCGAAAAUUCCGUACCUCUCUUGUACCUCAAUUUUGAUAAUGUGCCAAAGAAUAAGGUUCCUUUGAUUAAAGACCGUUUGAGUAAUGUUUUAAAGGACAUUGCAUCGAAAAGAGACGGUAUCGAGAUGCAGAGAUUGGGCACCGUUAUCCAUAAGUACAUUCUUGAGAUUUUGAGCAAUUUGGAAAACAGUCCUCAUGAUACUAUGGCUUUUAUCCUUAUUGGCGAUGUUCUUUUCGGGAAGACUAACGAAGAUUUAAAUCAGAGGUUAAAUCAAAUCGAGAUACUUAAGAAGCUGAUGGCAGAACCUGCCAGUUACUGGUUGACUCUUCUGAACAAAUAUUUCGUGAAUGCACCAGUUGUUGUUUCGAAAGGAAUUCCAAGCAUAGAGAAGAAAUUGGAGAUGGCUAAGAAGGAAAAGAAACGAAUAGAAAAGCAAGUGGAAAAUUUGGGAAUGGAAGGUCUUGAGAAGAAGAAACGAGAACUGGAAGAAGCGAUUGCAGAAAAUGAGACACCAGUACCUGAUGAACUUUUAACAUCUGUGCCAAUUCCGAGUACAGAAUCUAUUAAUUUCCAUCACAUCAAAAGUUUCUCGACUGACUCUUUAGAGCAGCAUCCUCGAUUCGACAUCAAUAAACUACCUCUCUAUACAUAUUUAGAUCAUGCAAAUACUAAUUUCGUUUAUAUGUUUGUUACCAUGGACACAUCAAAAGUACCUGCAGAUUUAAGACCAUAUGUGCCUCUUUUACUCGAAACGAUUUUGGUCUGUCCAGUUAAUCGAGAUGGAAAAUUAAUUCCGUACGAAGAAAUCGUUACUGAGUUAGAAUCCGACACUGUGGGCGCUAAAAGUGGAUUAGGAUUAGACAAUAAUUGUAGAUUCUCGUGUGGUACUUUCAGUCAGGCAGCUAACUUAAUGCUCCAGCUCGAAUUGUCGAAAUACGCCAAAGGAGUCAAGUGGAUUAAAGAGUUGUUGUAUCAAACAGAAUUCACAGCAGAAAGAUUGAAGGUCACUGCAGCAAAAAUUAUCAAUGAAGUAGCACAAAUAAAAAGAAGAGGAAACAAGAUUGUAGCCGAUCUUAUUAAAGGAUUAAUAUAUAAAAAAGAAAGCAAUCAGUAUAUGUCGAGUUUGCUUCGACAGCAGAAAUUCCUCACUAAAUUAAUUGAGCGAUUGGAAACCGAGGAAGGUCAGAAAGAAGUCAUAGCGGAAAUGAACACCGUGAGGAAGAUCCUGACUUCGACAAAGUCGAUGGCUCUCUACAUCGCAGUUAAUGUCGAUAAAUUAGUAGCUCAAAAUCCAGAUGUAUAUUCGCCUUGGAAGAAAUGUUUUUCUGACAUUGAAAAUUCGGCCAAAUCAAAGUUGAUAAUUGUCCCAGAUUACUCGCUAAUGAAAACUCCGGAUCAGAUUUCAUUGAAUGGCUGCGUAACAGGAUUGGGAUGUAUCGAAUCAGCUUUUUUGGUUCAGUGCACUCCUUGUAUCAAAGAAUAUCUGCAUCCGGAUUUGGCCCCGUUGCUUGUUUAUCUUCAGUAUCUUACGCAACUGGAGGGUCCUAUGUGGAAGAAAAUUCGAGGGCAAGGACUUUCGUAUGGCUACAGUAUAUUCACAAAACCAAAUGAAGGUCUUCUCUAUUUGUCAUUGUACAGAGCGACGAAUGUAGUUGGCGCUUAUAAAGAAGCAAAAGCGAUUAUAGAGUUGUAUCUCUCGAAAAAUAAAUGGAAUUCAACUUUAUUCGAUUCUGCAAAAUCGUCGCUGAUUUUCGAAAUGAUCAAUAAAGAAAAGUCCGUGCGAGACAUGGUUACGCAAAGUUUGUUAUCCUACUUUAAAAAUGUUCCUCAUGAUUACAAUCGUCAAAUGAUAAAGAACAUAUCAGCUGUUACACUCGAAGAGAUUCAUCGCGUUGUUCCUCAGUAUAUUAAAAAACUUCUAGACCCCAAAGCUUGUAAAACUGCAGUUGUUUGUCAUCCUGACAAGGCUCCUGAAGUUGCUGAAGCUUUCAAGGAAUUCGGUCACGACUUGAAAGUGUAUAAUUCUUUGGAAGAAACCUACCUCAAUGAAUGGUGAACAACGUGAAAGUAAAAUUAUUGCCGGUUUUGUGAGAUUUCAUGUAAAUUUAAGAAUAUUUGUCAUAUCAGAGAUGCAAGUUCUACACUAGAGUAUUGACGGCCUUAGGAGGAUCAAGUAGACCCUAAAAGAUGAAAUCCAAGCCGAUGCGGAAGAACGGACCGAACUCAUGAAGGAAGUUGAGAGAAUGUCCUGAAAGAUACACGAGCUCAAUGAGAGCCUCACAAAGAAAGCCGUUGCACUUCAAGAUUACGAGCGCAUGAGAAAUGAGGCCGAAGGCGCAUACGAGAAGAUUCUGGAAAACUCGGAGAUGUUGCUCAACAUGGUAAAGAGAGAGGCGGCUAGUCUCGAUAAUACAUCACGCAAAUAACGAGAUGUGAUCUCAAAACGACCAUAAUGUGUAGCAAUUUCAAUAGCAGGUCAUUUUUUAUAUUAUACGGUUAUUCUGGUACA
This is an RNA transcript of Belonocnema kinseyi, 3528 nucleotides long. RefSeq lists it as uncharacterized. Lineage: Eukaryota; Metazoa; Arthropoda; Insecta; Hymenoptera; Cynipidae. The record is from RefSeq and is a predicted model, not a curated record. The transcript is spliced from 16 exons.